AGAACGAAACGCUGGCGGCAGGCCUAACACAUGCAAGUCGAACGGUUGUAGCAAUACAGCAGUGGCAGACGGGUGAGUAACACGUGGGAACCUUCCUAGGGGUACGGAACAACUACAGGGAAACUUGAGCUAAUACCGUAUACGUCCGUGAGGAGAAAGAUUUAUCGCCCCUAGACCGGGCCCGCGUAGGAUUAGGUAGUUGGUGAGGUAACGGCU
RNAcentral lists this ribosomal RNA (216 nucleotides) under uncultured soil bacterium. RNAcentral's name for it is "partial 16S ribosomal RNA". It matches the Rfam family "Bacterial small subunit ribosomal RNA", at positions 32 to 265 of the family's 1533-position model. The record is from RNAcentral.